RNAcentral lists this ribosomal RNA (229 nucleotides) under uncultured bacterium. RNAcentral's name for it is "partial 16S ribosomal RNA". It matches the Rfam family "Bacterial small subunit ribosomal RNA", at positions 568 to 796 of the family's 1533-position model. The record is from RNAcentral.
CAUGUAGGCGGGGAUACAAGUCAGAUGUGAAAUCCUGUGGCUCAACCACAGACGUGCAUCUGAAACUGUAUCUCUUGAGUGUUGGAGAGGAAAGCGGAAUUCCUAGUGUAGCGGUGAAAUGCGUAGAUAUUAGGAGGAACACCGGUGGCGAAGGCGGCUUUCUGGACAAUAACUGACGCUGAGAUGCGAAAGCGUGGGGAGCAAACAGGAUUAGAUACCCUGGUAGUCC